Molecule: antisense RNA, 75 nt
Filed under: Streptomyces sp. 150FB
Lineage: Bacteria; Bacillati; Actinomycetota; Actinomycetes; Kitasatosporales; Streptomycetaceae
Description: ASpks TB sRNA
Rfam family: ASpks TB sRNA
Source: Rfam by way of RNAcentral
CUUGACGGAGCCGAGCCACAACGGCCGCUCGACGUCCCGCCCUUGACCGUACGUCGCGAGCAGCGCCUGCGCCUC